This 1372-nucleotide ribosomal RNA is filed under the name uncultured bacterium. Its description in RNAcentral is "bacterial SSU rRNA". It matches the Rfam family "Bacterial small subunit ribosomal RNA", at positions 28 to 1381 of the family's 1533-position model. The record is from RNAcentral.
GAUGAACGCUGGCGGCGUGCCUAAUACAUGCAAGUCGAGCGAACGGACGAGAAGCUUGCUUCUCUGAUGUUAGCGGCGGACGGGUGAGUAACACGUGGAUAACCUACCUAUAAGACUGGGAUAACUUCGGGAAACCGGAGCUAAUACCGGAUAAUAUUUUGAACCGCAUGGUUCAAAAGUGAAAGACGGUCUUGCUGUCACUUAUAGAUGGAUCCGCGCUGCAUUAGCUAGUUGGUAAGGUAACGGCUUACCAAGGCAACGAUGCGUAGCCGACCUGAGAGGGUGAUCGGCCACACUGGAACUGAGACACGGUCCAGACUCCUACGGGAGGCAGCAGUAGGGAAUCUUCCGCAAUGGGCGAAAGCCUGACGGAGCAACGCCGCGUGAGUGAUGAAGGUCUUCGGAUCGUAAAACUCUGUUAUUAGGGAAGAACAUAUGUGUAAGUAACUGUGCACAUCUUGACGGUACCUAAUCAGAAAGCCACGGCUAACUACGUGCCAGCAGCCGCGGUAAUACGUAGGUGGCAAGCGUUAUCCGGAAUUAUUGGGCGUAAAGCGCGCGUAGGCGGUUUUUUAGGUCUGAUGUGAAAGCCCACGGCUCAACCGUGGAGGGUCAUUGGAAACUGGAAAACUUGAGUGCAGAAGAGGAAAGUGGAAUUCCAUGUGUAGCGGUGAAAUGCGCAGAGAUAUGGAGGAACACCAGUGGCGAAGGCGACUUUCUGGUCUGUAACUGACGCUGAUGUGCGAAAGCGUGGGGAUCAAACAGGAUUAGAUACCCUGGUAGUCCACGCCGUAAACGAUGAGUGCUAAGUGUUAGGGGGUUUCCGCCCCUUAGUGCUGCAGCUAACGCAUUAAGCACUCCGCCUGGGGAGUACGACCGCAAGGUUGAAACUCAAAGGAAUUGACGGGGACCCGCACAAGCGGUGGAGCAUGUGGUUUAAUUCGAAGCAACGCGAAGAACCUUACCAAAUCUUGACAUCCUUUGACAACUCUAGAGAUAGAGCCUUCCCCUUCGGGGGGCAAAGUGACAGGUGGUGCAUGGUUGUCGUCAGCUCGUGUCGUGAGAUGUUGGGUUAAGUCCCGCAACGAGCGCAACCCUUAAGCUUAGUUGCCAUCAUUAAGUUGGGCACUCUAAGUUGACUGCCGGUGACAAACCGGAGGAAGGUGGGGAUGACGUCAAAUCAUCAUGCCCCUUAUGAUUUGGGCUACACACGUGCUACAAUGGACAAUACAAAGGGCAGCGAAACCGCGAGGUCAAGCAAAUCCCAUAAAGUUGUUCUCAGUUCGGAUUGUAGUCUGCAACUCGACUACAUGAAGCUGGAAUCGCUAGUAAUCGUAGAUCAGCAUGCUACGGUGAAUACGUUCCCGGGUCU